This 72-nucleotide transfer RNA is filed under the name Danio rerio (zebrafish). RNAcentral's name for it is "tRNA-Pro (AGG) (tRNA-Pro-AGG-57-1)". It matches the Rfam family "tRNA". From Rfam's summary of the family: Transfer RNA (tRNA) molecules are approximately 80 nucleotides in length. Their secondary structure includes four short double-helical elements and three loops (D, anti-codon, and T loops). Lineage: Eukaryota; Metazoa; Chordata; Actinopteri; Cypriniformes; Danionidae. The record is from Rfam by way of RNAcentral.
GGCUCGUUGGUCUAGGGGUACGAUUCUCGCUUAGGGUGCGAGAGGUCCUGGGUUCAAAUCCCGGACGAGCCC